GAUGAACGCUGGCGGCGUGCCUAAUACAUGCAAGUCGAGCGAACAGACGAGGAGCUUGCUCCUCUGACGUUAGCGGCGGACGGGUGAGUAACACGUGGAUAACCUACCUAUAAGACUGGGAUAACUUCGGGAAACCGGAGCUAAUACCGGAUAAUAUAUUGAACCGCAUGGUUCAAUAGUGAAAGACGGUUUUGCUGUCACUUAUAGAUGGAUCCGCGCCGCAUUAGCUAGUUGGUAAGGUAACGGCUUACCAAGGCAACGAUGCGUAGCCGACCUGAGAGGGUGAUCGGCCACACUGGAACUGAGACACGGUCCAGACUCCUGAGGGAGGCAGCAGUAGGGAAUCUUCCGCAAUGGGCGAAAGCUUGACGGAGCAACGCCGCGUGAGUGAUGAAGGUCUUCGGAUCGUAAAACUCUGUUAUUAGGGAAGAACAAAUGUGUAAGUAACUAUGCACGUCUUGACGGUACCUAAUCAGAAAGCCACGGCUAACUACGUG
This 497-nucleotide ribosomal RNA is filed under the name uncultured bacterium. Its description in RNAcentral is "partial 16S ribosomal RNA". It matches the Rfam family "Bacterial small subunit ribosomal RNA", at positions 28 to 507 of the family's 1533-position model. The record is from RNAcentral.